This 234-nucleotide ribosomal RNA is filed under the name uncultured bacterium. Its description in RNAcentral is "partial 16S ribosomal RNA". It matches the Rfam family "Bacterial small subunit ribosomal RNA", at positions 118 to 347 of the family's 1533-position model. The record is from RNAcentral.
UGAGGAACAUGACCUUCGGCGGGGGAUAGCCGGCCCAACGGCCGGGUAAUACCGCGUACGACCAUCCGGGGACAUCCCUGGGUGGUGAAAGCAGCAAUGCGCCGAUGGAGUGCCUCGCGGCCUAUCAGCUAGUUGGUGAGGUAACGGCUCACCAAGGCGACGACGGGUAGCUGGUCUGAGAGGAUGGCCAGCCACAUUGGGACUGAGACACGGCCCAGACUCCUACGGGAGCAG